UUUGUGAAUCCAUAUUCACUACUCAUGAUUACCUUCUUCUCAUCAGUUACCUGGAGAUGGCAUCCAGAGCAAGUUGUUCCGUCACCUUUCCAGGGGCCUGACAGAUGGGCCGAAAGCACUGCAGACGUUUGAACAAGGAAAUGGAGAGGGAGCCUGCUGGAAACAGGGCUUCACGCAGCCAGCCGUGGAUGAUGAAUAGAGUGUGAUUGUGUCUGACAGGAGGCAACAAUGCUUUAAAAAUAGAAAGCCAGGACCUCAGAACAGAUUUCUGUCAGUUUGAGAUGCAGAAGAGCAGCAGUAAAUUGGCUCAUUGAAUUGCCUGCUAUUUUCCAGACAGAAGCUAUUAAAA
This is a non-coding RNA of Meleagris gallopavo (turkey), 349 nucleotides long. NCBI's taxonomy places the organism in Eukaryota, Metazoa, Chordata, Aves, Galliformes, Phasianidae. The record is from RefSeq and is a predicted model, not a curated record.